RNAcentral lists this ribosomal RNA (476 nucleotides) under uncultured bacterium. Its description in RNAcentral is "bacterial SSU rRNA". It matches the Rfam family "Bacterial small subunit ribosomal RNA", at positions 29 to 478 of the family's 1533-position model. The record is from RNAcentral.
AACGAACGCUGGCGGCGUGGAUAAGACAUGCAAGUCGAACGAUUAUCACCGGGUAGCAAUAUUCGGUGGUGAGAGUGGCGCAAGGGUGCGUAACACGUGGGUAAUUUGCCGUGAAGUCUGGAAUAACUUGCUGAAAGGCGAGCUAAUACCGGAUGUGAUUUUUGGAAGGCAUCUUCUGAAACUCAAAGUCGGGGACCGCAAGGCCUGACGCUUCUCGAUAAGCCCGCGGCCAUCAGCUAGUUGGUGAGGUAACGGCUCACCAAGGCUAAGACGGGUAGCUGGUCUGAGAGGACGACCAGCCUCACUGGAACUGAGACACGGUCCAGACACCUACGGGUGGCAGCAGUCGAGAAUUUUUCUCAAUGGGGAAACCCUGAAGGAGCGACGCCGCGUGGGGGAUGAAUGGCUUCGGCCCCGUAAACCCCUGUCAUUUGCGAUCAAACCUUACGACCUAACACGUCGUAAGCUGAUAGUAG